RNAcentral lists this ribosomal RNA (433 nucleotides) under uncultured bacterium. RNAcentral's name for it is "partial 16S ribosomal RNA". It matches the Rfam family "Bacterial small subunit ribosomal RNA", at positions 29 to 507 of the family's 1533-position model. The record is from RNAcentral.
AACGAACGCUGGCGGCAUGCCUAACACAUGCAAGUCGAACGAGACCUUCGGGUCUAGUGGCGCACGGGUGCGUAACGCGUGGGAACCUGCCCUUAGGUUCGGAAUAACUCCCCGAAAGGGGUGCUAAUACCGGAUAAUGUCUUCGGACCAAAGAUUUAUCGCCUUUGGAUGUGCCCGCGUUGGAUUAGCUCGUUGGUAGGGUAAAAGCCUACCAAGGCGACGAUCCAUAGCUGGUCUGAGAGGAUGAUCAGCCACACUGGGACUGAGACACGGCCCAGACUCCUACGGGAGGCAGCAGUGGGGAAUAUUGGACAAUGGGCGAAAGCCUGAUCCAGCAAUGCCGCGUGAGUGAUGAAGGCCUUAGGGUUGUAAAGCUCUUUUACCCGGGAUGAUAAUGACAGUACCGGGAGAAUAAGCUCCGGCUAACUCCGUG